Molecule: transfer RNA, 43 nt
Filed under: Alleniella complanata
Lineage: Eukaryota; Viridiplantae; Streptophyta; Bryopsida; Hypnales; Neckeraceae
Description: partial tRNA-Phe
Source: RNAcentral
AAAAAGGCCGGGAUAGCUCAGUUGGUAGAGCAGAGGACUGAAA